AUGAAAAUGUGGAACAAGAGGGAGCAAAUCUUGAGGACAUUGGGGGAGAAGAGGGAGAUGAGACUGGAAGGCAUUUAUAUGACAUGCCUAGGCCUCGCCGCUAGAACUAUGAAGGAUGCAGUUGUCCCGCUUGUGAUGCAAUUUGUUGAGUGCAACAUCAGUGGACCACAUUGUCAUAGUCGCAAGGUAGCCAUUUUUCCAUUAGCUUUUAUCCUUGAAGGUCCCUCUGUCAAGCAACUUGCUCCUGUAGUUCAUUUGUUGCUUGACAUGAUGAAAGAUCCUGAGAAAGGUGUAAGAGGCAGGGCUGCAUGGACUCUUGGGAGGAUGUUUGAGCUUGUGGGUGCAAAUAGAAUCAUCAGAAAUGAGGGGGGCCUUCCUGGGAUCAUGGCCGUCUUGAUAGAGAGGAGCAAAGAUGUCCCUCAAGUGUCCAUUGAAGUGUAUAGAGCUCUAUAUUUUCUUGCGAGGGGUUAUGGAGAAGAUGCAAAGUCAUGCGAGCUUUCACCUUUUGUUAAGCCUCUUAUUGAUGCUCUUCUUUGUGCUUCAGAACUUACUAAGGAGAACCCUUUUAGGCUUCCAGCAUGUACAUCUGCUUAUGAAGCACUGAGUGAGAUUGUGAGAGUUUGCAACAUUGAAGAAUUAGAAGUUUGCAGGGCUGUAGGAGGCUUAAUGUCUCAAAUCUUUACGAGAUUGAACAUCAUGAUUAAUCGUCAAGGUGAAGCAGUUUCAUCUGUUGAGAGGAAGAACCGUGGCCUUCUUGAGGUUUUGCUGUGUGGUCUACUAGAACUCUUAAUCCGGAGGCUUGGCACUAGAUACUUGGCGACCCGUGUGGCAUUUACACUUAAUGGGUCUGCUAAGUGUGUAUUGCUCCUAUUGUGCAUUGUCUUAACCAGUGACAGUAAUAGUGCACGUGAUGGAGCAGCCCUUGCCAUUGGUGCUCUUGCUCAUGCAAUUGGUGGUGAGUUUGUACAACACAUGCCUAUCCUGCUACAGUACUUUAAUGUGAAGCGGCUCUCCCAAGUUUAUUUAGAAGUGAUGUGUGAUAUCUGCCGUGUCUUGGGAAAAGAGGAAGAAGUGGUGCCGUCGUAUGAUCAUAUUAUGGAAGUUCUCUACCAAGGUAUUGUAGAAUCGACACUUCAACCUUCAAUUUUAUCGAGCUUUGGACAGAUUGCUCUUGCUAUUGGUGAGAAAUUUGAGAAGUACGUGCCUCCAGUUAUGGAGAAGCUUAGAGUAGCUGCUGAGUUGAAGUCACAGGAUAAGGAUCAUGGUAACAAGGUUAGAGAGGGGAUAUUUAAGGCUUACCAUGGCAUAUUGGGUGGUAUAAAUGACCAAAAGUCUGGGUUGAAGGUAGCGAUGGCUCUAGUUGACUUCACCGAAGGUGUGUGCAAGGACCACCGCAAGAUCAAGACAAGUUCUUGGGACACAAAGGAUAAAAGUGUGACCAAGGCAGGAAUUGAUGUUGUUAGGAAAGCAACUUGUAUUACCAUGGGGCCAUAG
Molecule: ribosomal RNA, 1494 nt
Filed under: Triticum aestivum (bread wheat)
Lineage: Eukaryota; Viridiplantae; Streptophyta; Magnoliopsida; Poales; Poaceae
Description: partial small subunit ribosomal RNA
Source: RNAcentral